CCUACGGGGGGCUGCAGUGGGGAAUAUUGGACAAUGGGCGCAAGCCUGAUCCAGCAAUGCCGCGUGUGUGAAGAAGGCCUGCGGGUUGUAAAGCACUUUAAGCAGGAAAGAAGGGGUGGGAGUUAAUACCUUUCAUCAUUGACGUUACCUGCAGAAUAAGCACCGGCUAACUCCGUGCCAGCAGCCGCGGUAAUACGGAGGGUGCUAGCGUUGAUCGGAAUUACUGGAGGUAGAGCGCGCGGUGGCGCGUGAAAGCCCCGGGCUUAACCUGGGAACUGCGGUGGAUACUGUCGGGCUAGAGUGUGGUAGAGGGGAGUGGAAUUUCCGGUGUAGCAGUGAAAUGCGUAGAGAUCGGAAGGAACACCAGUGGCGAAGGCGGCUCCCUGGACUAACACUGACGCUGAGGUGCGAAAGCGUGGGGAGCAAACAGGAUUAGAGACCCGGGUAGUC
Molecule: ribosomal RNA, 450 nt
Filed under: uncultured bacterium
Lineage: Bacteria
Description: partial 16S ribosomal RNA
Rfam family: Bacterial small subunit ribosomal RNA
Source: RNAcentral